Molecule: ribosomal RNA, 254 nt
Filed under: uncultured bacterium
Lineage: Bacteria
Description: partial 16S ribosomal RNA
Rfam family: Bacterial small subunit ribosomal RNA
Source: RNAcentral
UACGUAGGGUGCGAGCGUUAAUCGGAAUUACUGGGCGUAAAGCGUGCGCAGGCGGUUAUUUAAGUCAGGUGUGAAAUCCCUGGGCUUAACCUAGGAAUUGCGCUUGAGACUGGAUAGCUUGGAGUGCGGCAGAGGGAGGUGGAAUUCCACGUGUAGCAGUGAAAUGCGUAGAGAUGUGGAGGAACACCGAUGGCGAAGGCAGCCUCCUGGGCCAGCACUGACGCUCAUGCACGAAAGCGUGGGGAGCAAACAGG